AAGGAAUAUUGGACAAUGGGCGAAAGCCUGAUCCAGCCAUGCCGCGUGAAUGAAGAAGGCCUUAGGGUUGUAAAGUUCUUUUAGGGGUGACGAUAAUGACGGUAGCCCCAGAAAAAGCUCCGGCUAACUCCGUGCCAGCAGCCGCGGUAAUACGGAGGGAGCGAGCGUUGUUCGGAAUUACUGGGCGUAAAGCGUGCGCAGGCGGUCUUAUAAGUCAGAAGUGAAAGCCCUGGGCUCAACCCAGGAAUUGCUUUUGAAACUGCAAGACUAGAGUAUCGGAGAGGUUGGCGGAAUUCCCAGUGUAGAGGUGAAAUUCGUAGAUAUUGGGAGGAACACCAGUGGCGUAAGCGGCCAACUAGACGAUUACUGACGCUCAGGCACGAAAGCGUGGGGAUCAAAC
Molecule: ribosomal RNA, 400 nt
Filed under: uncultured bacterium
Lineage: Bacteria
Description: bacterial SSU rRNA
Rfam family: Bacterial small subunit ribosomal RNA
Source: RNAcentral